AUUGAACGCUGGCGGCAUGCCUUACACAUGCAAGUCGAACGGCAGCACGAGAGCAAUCCUGGUGGCGAGUGGCGAACGGGUGAGUAAUAUAUCGGAACGUGCCCAGUCGUGGGGGAUAACGUAGCGAAAGCUACGCUAAUACCGCAUACGAUCUAUGGAUGAAAGCGGGGGAUCGCAAGACCUCGCGCGAUUGGAGCGGCCGAUAUCAGAUUAGGUAGUUGGUGAGGUAAAGGCUCACCAAGCCGACGAUCUGUAGCUGGUCUGAGAGGACGACCAGCCACACUGGGACUGAGACACGGCCCAGACUCCUACGGGAGGCAGCAGUGGGGAAUUUUGGACAAAUGGGCGCAAGCCUGAUCCAGCAAAUGCCGCGUGCAGGAUGAAGGCUCGGUUGUAACUAGCUUUGUUACGGUAACGAAACCGGGUAGUAGCUCUAAUACAGUUG
RNAcentral lists this ribosomal RNA (445 nucleotides) under uncultured bacterium. Its description in RNAcentral is "bacterial SSU rRNA". It matches the Rfam family "Bacterial small subunit ribosomal RNA", at positions 30 to 478 of the family's 1533-position model. The record is from RNAcentral.